Molecule: small nuclear RNA, 196 nt
Organism: Bombina bombina (fire-bellied toad)
Lineage: Eukaryota; Metazoa; Chordata; Amphibia; Anura; Bombinatoridae
Product: U2 spliceosomal RNA
Exons: 1
Source: RefSeq, a predicted model, not a curated record
AUCUUUUCUCUACCUUUUGGCUAAGAUCAAGUGUUGUAUCUGUUCUUAUCAGUUUAAUAUCUGAUACGUCCCCUAUCUGGGGACCAUAGUGUCACAUGUACAAUAAUCUUUUCAUUUACACCAACUGUACUGACGCUACCGUCUAGUAAUCAGUAGGUUUGCAGUUUGGCUCCUGCUGCAGUUACUUGCACCUUGA